UCUUCAUGUCUCAAUAACAGAGCGUGUUUUGUCUGCACCUGUCUGUUUGAGUGUGCUUUGGGUUGUUUCUGUACACUUGUAUACAGUUUCCUGUGGCUUGUUAUGUCUGGGUUCUUUGAAAGGACGUAAGGUCUUUUUCUUCUGUGUUUCAGAUCUUCGAGAAUAAAGGUGCCAUGAUGGGCUGCUCAAAACCCCUUCCUAACUGUCAGGAAGCCUGUCACUGUCGUGCCGUGACAGCACAGCAAGUCAAACUCUCUGGGUUGGCCCACACUGAGCUCCCUGUCACUGAAUGCAUGAAGUGUUUAUGGCUGUGUGUUACACGAGGGGGCAGUAGAGAAUUUUCAGAUGGAUUGACAUACACCUCAUCACAUCUGAUCUCUGGUGCCGAUGGACUAACUUGUUAAGUUCUGAUUGAUAUGGUUUAGUUGGUUGGAGAAAGUCAACUUUUUGUGCAAUUGUACGAAAUGUAAUGCAUUUCUGUAAUGCAGCAACAAAAAUGAAUGCAGUGCUACUAUCAGUAACAGAAACGAAAUAAAACUGAAUGCAAAUAUGUUUUUUUAGCUGAAGGAAA
Carassius gibelio (silver crucian carp) is the source of this 571-nucleotide long non-coding RNA. RefSeq lists it as uncharacterized. The transcript has 3 exons. Lineage: Eukaryota; Metazoa; Chordata; Actinopteri; Cypriniformes; Cyprinidae. The record is from RefSeq and is a predicted model, not a curated record.